UACGUAGGGUGCGAGCGUUAAUCGGAAUUACUGGGCGUAAAGCGUGCGCAGGCGGUUUUGUAAGCCAGAUGUGAAAUCCCCGGGCUUAACCUGGGAAUGGCAUUUGGGACUGCAAGGCUGGAGUACGGCAGAGGAGACUGGAAUUCCUGGUGUAGCAGUGAAAUGCGUAGAGAUCGGGAGGAACAUCUGUGGCGAAGGCGACUGCCUGGACCAGCACUGACACUGAGGCACGAAAGCGUGGGGAGCAAACAGG
Molecule: ribosomal RNA, 253 nt
Filed under: uncultured bacterium
Lineage: Bacteria
Description: partial 16S ribosomal RNA
Rfam family: Bacterial small subunit ribosomal RNA
Source: RNAcentral